GCAAACUCAAAAGCCUCUUUCUUCUACAACCACAUGGUUUGUUUUAGCUAAAAGAGAAUCAGGUUCUUCAAUAGAUUCUUCUAUGACAGUGUCAUGAAUCAGAGACUCAAAAAGCACCAGAGUUCUUUCAUCUCUUGAGAAUGGAGUUUCUUCCCCCUGAUAUUCAGGAACAGAGGAGAAGUAGGGUUUGCAAUACAUGGAAGUGAGACUGGAGAUGAGGUGACUGGAGAAGAGUAGAGGUGAUUGGAGAUGAGGAGGAAAUCUAUAUGUGUACAGUAGUAUCAGGGAUAGUGAAGAAGUGGGUUUCUGGUGAUUGUGUUAAGGGAGCAGGAGGAGAUGUAGUAUUAAUGUUGAUAGCAAGAGAAAAAGACGAUUAUUUGUUGGCAUGGUGAGAGAUGUGGUAAAAGGUGCAAAACGAGACAAUGGUUUAGAACUGCUAGUCCAAAAAGUCGGAGAUGUGGCAGUUGAAUUAAUUUUGCAAUAUUUUUCUUUGAACAAGCAUGCGAAAACACAUUACUAC
RNAcentral lists this long non-coding RNA (520 nucleotides) under Nicotiana benthamiana. RNAcentral's name for it is "long non-coding RNA (NBEN_LNC032487)". Lineage: Eukaryota; Viridiplantae; Streptophyta; Magnoliopsida; Solanales; Solanaceae. The record is from RNAcentral.